This is a long non-coding RNA of Athene cunicularia (burrowing owl), 3117 nucleotides long. RefSeq lists it as uncharacterized. The transcript is spliced from 3 exons. The record is from RefSeq and is a predicted model, not a curated record. Lineage: Eukaryota; Metazoa; Chordata; Aves; Strigiformes; Strigidae.
GGUGAUGUGUGCUGGCUUCCACGGGCUGUCGGAGGGCAAUGCUGGCUGGGGCCUGUGACCACACAGAUCUCCAGAAGGAAGCGCUCCGAUCUGUGGCAUCAUGUACAGAGAAAGUUGGGAGGGAUGUCUCCUGCUGUGGGUGUUCGUGAGUGAGUUUCAGAUGGGUUAUGUUCAGUGCAGGUGGUCUGGAAGACAGCCCUGGUACCCUGUGUAGAAUUUCCUGGCAGUGGAGUCACUGCACAGCUGUAUUUAAGUUUAGUUUAUGCACCAGCAGAGAAGAGCUAUUAGAUUUGUUAAUGUGACUUUUUCACAUUAGGGACCAAUCCCAUCCCUGGGAUAUUAAAACUCUUUCAGUCAUGACAGUAAAAAGAUCUUAAUGAAAUGCAGUUUUGUAACCACUGAUAUGUUUUAAUGUGUGGAUUCCUGGGGUGAUUCUGCUGAAAUAACAUCACUUGAAUAAACAAGAUCUCCAGAAAAAAAGUAAUCAUCGUAAUUAAUUUGCAGAUGUUUAGAUCCUCAUUUAUUAUAAUUGUUUUCUAGAGCCUGGUGGUUGGCUGUUUGACCUUUAGAAGACAACAUGGGUGGAAAGUACAUUUUCAAACGCUUAAAACCCCACAGUGAAAUAAGACUAGUGGAUAUAGAGACUGAAACAGUGGGAAAGCAGAGAAGCAGGGCUCUCAGGAAGGGACAGUGGUAAGGUCUGGUCUGUGAGCAAAUGAUGAUGAAGGAACUGUAUGCUCUUCCUAAUGAGGUAUAUUCAUUCAUGGAAGGAGGUUUGGCUGUCCUAUGAAGCAGGCAUCUAUGAAAGAUGAAGAGGAGCUAAAGGAAAGGGCAAGAGUUCUGUCCUGGUUUGGGAUUAUAUUAUUGCAUGGUGCUGCUUUUGCCAGGGGUAGUACAGGCUCACAUUUCACCUUGAUCACACGAAACUCACUGCUUUUCUGUUGGCAAGACCAGAGCAUGUGGUGUGGCUGUUACAGCGUGGUUAUUGUGUUUGCUGCUGGGAAGUGUGAUUUCUUUCCCCUUUUUCAUUUGGAGCAGGGCUUGUGUCCAAAUUUACUGUGUAGCAUAUAGGAAUGCUGAGAUAGCCAGGAUCUUGGAAAGCUGUUGUGAAACAUACCUUGGCAUAAAGAUAUUUCUCAGUUGUUUGUUUACUGUAUCUUUGCAGUGUAAACUGUUAAUAAGUACUUUGGUUUGUUAUUCUGUUUAUUUUUUUUUAAAUCACAAUUACCUCUUCCAGUAAUUUGUUUUCAUAUUAUUUAAUAAAUCAAGAACAGUCUUGCUUCCAUACUGAAAGGAGAAGUUAUUCCCUGGUGGCAUUGUGUGUACCUACAGAAGUGUUCCAUCUUCACUGAUGGGAUGCAUUUUUGUACAGUGCAGACCUGAAACCACUGCAGCUCACCAUGUGCACACACACCUGCUUUGCUGGAUGAGCUUGGGAACAUUUAUGUCAUGAAGUUCUUGUCCACAUUGGAGCAGGAACAACAUAAAACUACUCUUGUUUGUAGCAAAAAGCACGAAGUAGGCAACAGACACUAAUGUUUACAAAUGAGAGAAAACAAGAAAGGAUCUGCAAAACAAGAAGCAAACAUGUUCAGGAUGAAGAAAGGUAAUCUCUAAAAUAAAAAAGUAUUUGUGAACUGUGCUGCUGCGAUAGCCUCAAAGGACAACAUGCAAGUGUUCAGCAGGAGGUGAAAUCAGCCAAGCUGCAGUGGUGGCUAGUGGAGAGAAGAGGACACAGAUAACAGCAUGAGUCACUGAUGAGAUGCAAUUUAUAAAAGCCUUCGAUACUGUCAGCUGGGGCCAAGGGCUCUCGAAGCAAUGCCGGACUGGCCCGCCUGGUGGCAAACUGCUUUCACUGGAAGUGCCUCUCCGUUUAGGAGGUUUGGGAACAACAAACGUGCUCACUGGGAUUUCAGACUGUAAUCUCAUCACUGUGCAUUUUUAAGUUUUCAGGGACGUGCUUAUCCCUCUCAAAUAGCAAUGUUUCCUCUCUCAGAUACUGUCGCGGAGUCCGUGCUGCGGAGAUAGCGUCUGUGUCUCAAACUUCACAGAGUUUCUGGGGGGUUCUUCAUCUUCUCCCUGUAGUCCUGGAACUGCAGAAAUCAAUAUUCUGCCAUCUGUAAAUCCUUUGUUCCCCUUUUCACCAGGGCUUUAUCAGCUUUGUAAGUGAAGGAGGGAGGGGGGAAGAGGGCGUUGAGAGAGCCAUUGUCCCUUCUCUCGGGAAUGAUCUGGAAGUACUAUGCAAAUCUUCAUUUGAAGACCCUGGGAACUGGGGGAGGGCUUUAGCUGCGAGCUCAGUAGGAGGGGAGCUCUGCAUCCCUGCUCACGCACUCCUGCCUAGUGCAAGGGGCUGGGAAGAGUUUUUUGAACUGGCAGAAGAAACAUUUUGUGCUUUGUGCACUUCUGUGAGGCUUUGCGCUCCUUAUGUCUCCUGCUUUGUGCCUUUCUCUGCCUGCUUCUUCUAAAUGUUUGCAUAAGAAUUGGGUAGGGGAGAGAUCUAAGAGCUGCGAUUAGCAGUGAUGAAGUCAGGACGGUGCAGAGUGCAGCACCCCUCCUGCCUGGCACCCAGCGGUGGAGCAGCUCCAGUGGUGCUCACACACUAUCGCCUGGCUGCUGGCAUUAGCAUAGAGCACAGAUGCAGUUUCAGUAGGCAAAUAGCUCAGCUGGUCAGGAGUAGUGGAGUAAAAUAGUUUGCAGUUCUCAAAUUAUCACGUUGUAGCCAGGUCUUAAAAAGCCUCCUCUUAUGGGGCAAAAACUCACAGACCAGUACCUGCUUUAUGAAAGCCUGCAGUCUGUCCUGGCUUGGCUCAGCUCUGUCACCUGUUUUAUAUUAGGGCAGGGUCACACUAACUGCCAGUUUCCUGGAAGCUGUGUAGGGUCCUUCUUAGGCCUCAUGGAAGGGGAAGUACCCUGACUGCAUAGACACACGGGUGAACAGGGCAGCGGGGGAGAGAAAGUACAGAUUCAUAUCUAGGCAUUGUUGUGUUUGUAAGCUACUGUGAAGGCAGUCAUAACCUUUCUGAUCUUCUGACUUUCAUUUUCAUGGCAUCAGUUCCAUUGUUUAUUUUUAAAACUUUGAGGGGUUUUGUGUUCCAGCAAGCUAAAAAUUACUUUUGA